Molecule: non-coding RNA, 2818 nt
Organism: Taeniopygia guttata (zebra finch)
Lineage: Eukaryota; Metazoa; Chordata; Aves; Passeriformes; Estrildidae
Source: RefSeq, a predicted model, not a curated record
AAAGGCUUAGGUGAAAAAGCAGAUGCAAAUUUUGUCACAGAUCUUCCAUGCCAAGUAGAAAUAGGAGCCCGUUUUGUUAUGGAACAAAGUGUCAGUUCAUCUCUUCCCACCCUACAAAAACAGAAAAUUGGUGAGAAAAACACUUCAGAAAAACCAAAUGGUUUGUGUGGGAUUACAAGUGAUACAAUGAAAGAGGGGAAAAGUAAAAAAUGUUGAAAUAGAAAAUGGGGGUGGUAAAAAGCAGGACUGCUGGGGUUACAGAUGUCACAUUAAAGAGGAAAACGAGAGCUAUUUGUGCAUCCUAAGGCCCCCUCCAAAAAUAGAAUUUCACCUCAUCCUGUGCAACUGCCUGCACUCGAGGACUGCUCUGCAAACCACCUCAAGGGACUGCCUGGAACUUCUAGGGGCUCUAGAGCAACACAAGCAUCAAUGCCCAGGGAGUGGCUUUACAGAAAAGAAGAAAGCAAAAAACACUUCCGUGAUAUGGGACUGCAGAAUGGAAAGGGCUGACUUCUAAGGCUGUGCUCCUGAGAGCCUGGGUGACCCAGGCUGACAGCUGGGGGAUGCAUGCUGCUGCACAGCCUGGCCGUGCUCCACAAAUCCAGAAAGCAGCUUCUUCUGCCCUCAGUCUCGGGGCACUGGGGUGCCUUCUGCUCUCUCUGGCACUGGCUGCAUCUGGUGAGCCACACAACACCCACCUAACCCUCCCACAGUGGCCCCAGCUGCUCUCUCCUGACUUGAGCUGCACAUGCCCUCUCACACACCAUGCCUUGUUCAGCACUUCCCUGGUCACCAAGCCACGAGGUCUGUAUCUUUUUCUUCCUUUCCAAGCUCCUGACUUUGGGGCAGCAGCUUGUUCUGUUAUUUAUGAUGUCCCAGUGCGAAGGCCAGGAAUGAGGGAGGUUGCAUUCCAAGAGAGCCACUUCUUUCCCAUGAAAAGUAUGCACAAUCCUAACACCCAGAGUAUGUUUUCUACUACAGACAAAUAAUUUCCAUGAUAUGUGUACUUCUGCAGCUUCAUUGACUCCAUUCUGCUACUGUGGUGAAUCCUCUCUCACAGUGUGUUCAGUAUGUUUUCUGCUAAAAGUCUUGGGCCACCAAUAACCUGAAGAUAAAACUGGAAAUACAGCUGAAGGCCUGAAGAUUGUACAGCCUGCUGCUGGAUGCCAGCACCAUUUCACACUGCAUGAUUCCUUCACAGUCAAAUUAAACCAGAAAGGCUCCUUAUUGCACACACAGCUGUGCGAAGGACAGCUGGUGGUGCAGGGGGAAAACAGCCAGCAGCAGAAACUUCUUAAGCUUCUUCAAGGAAUCCUGGCCUGAGACCUUCUAAAAUAAAACAAAUCUCUACCAGCCACAUGCAGUAUAAUGUGGGGUGGUUUUUCUUGCCCAAAGGAUUCUAAAGCUAUGACCGCAGCACUAGAAAAAACAGGGCCUGGAAAUGAGCUUAAGUACUGGACUGCUAAUUGCCCAUUAUACUUAACUGCAAACAUGUGUCCUGGAAAAGGUUUGGCUCAAGUCAGCUCACACUGUCCCAGACGGAAUCCAGACCAGGAGAUGGUGAGUGUGCAGCCCAUUCCAGCAGGCAGCAUGCACCAGGCAAACACCAGCAGCCUCCCCUUUUCCCUCUUCCUGUGCUCAGCAUCACCUUUUUUCAUUGCCUUCAGACUCUCCAGAGCAAAGGAUACAUGUUCUCAGAUUCAUAAUAUAAAAAUGUCACUCCACUAACUAUUUUUUUUUUCAGAAAAAGAAAAGUCCAAUUAAAAAGCACAAGCAUGUUAACAUAGGUCCGUGGAAAGGAAGCAAUUGGUUUGUAAAAUGGACCUGGUCAGGUCUUGGUACUUGGCCAAAAAGCCAAGUGCCUUCACUUGUUUUAUUUGGUGUUAUAAACAUAGUCCAGCUGCAAGAAUCUGGCCUUACCUUCACAGGGAUGGCAGAAGGCACCUGUGACACUAAGGUCACCAUCAUUUGGACAAUACUGUCAGGCACAUGGUGGAUGGAACUGUGAAGGUCCAGGAGCUGCAUUCAGUGAUCCUUGUGGGUCCCUUCCAGCUCAGCAUGUUCUGUGAUUUUGUGAUCCUACUGAAGCCCUUGAGAACAUUAAAACCAUGAAUUUUUUUUUCCUUGUGCAGAACAAAUGUUAGUUUUGAUCCUAGAAACAGCAAUUGCUUUGGCUGAAACCUCUCUGUUUAAACAGACACCUAAAUAAGAGCAUCACGAGGAAUGUCCUUCAUUGGUAACAAUAAUCUCACCAUCCGUAGCCCUUUUUUAUCCUUGAGAUAUCUGUAGCUUUACAGUAAAUUAGGGUGGUUUUUUCCAUCUGAUUUUAUUUUUAAGAUCUCAGAAUUUAAUUAUGUUGAAACAGGAAGCAUGCUUUUUUUAAGUGAUGUCAGAAUUUCUUUCUUGAGCUGUUUCAUGGGAAGAAUCUUUACUUCUUUUCUCUGUUUACCCUGAAGGUUCAUGAAGCCAAUGUAAACAGCAAAAUGAGUGUAAACACCAGGGAUUAACUUUAGAAGAUUUGAAAGCAGCAGGUUUUGCCUUAAUAAAAUUAAGCAGAUAGUUUAGUAUUUCUAUAUAUCUCUGUAUAUAGUUUAGAAGUUCUAAAGAAGUAUGUUCCCCUUAUUAAACAUUCAUCAUGUGAGCUUUUUGAGGAUUUCCUCAAAGAAUCAAGGAUAGCAUUAUGUUGGUGUUAAGCUAAUUUUUUAUUAACUUCAGGGAGAGGACAAUUCGGUUACUCCAUUAAAUGUGCAGACACUCACUGUAUUCUCUGUACUGCAAUACAAAAAGAUUUUUAGACAAUACAAUACUCUUAAAAGCU